This is a long non-coding RNA of Drosophila simulans, 426 nucleotides long. RefSeq lists it as uncharacterized. NCBI's taxonomy places the organism in Eukaryota, Metazoa, Arthropoda, Insecta, Diptera, Drosophilidae. The transcript has 2 exons. The record is from RefSeq and is a predicted model, not a curated record.
CAUUUAGGGUGUACAGACCAACGUCUUUCUGAGGAUUUAGAAUCGUGGUUCGAUGCAAAGAAUUCUUUCAAAAUAUCUAAGCUUACUAAUGUCCCAAAGAAGCCAGCUUCCGUUUGCGGCCAAUAAGUGGUCAGGAUGAAGACAAAUAAAAUCCAGAUGGCGAGCCGAAUUAUACUACGACAGAUAAGACAUAAUCUCGGCCUUUCCAAAUCGAAAAAGAAGCGAAAACUACUAAUUCAUCGGCAUUGCGAUUUGUAAUAUUCUAUAUAAACAAUACCUCUUAAGUAUAUUUAAAAUGUGUGUAUACAUUCGUUCGUUUUCCUCACACUUUUUAAAAAAUAAAGUUUGAGUCGAAUUUUUUGAAUUUUUAAAGUGGUUUUAUUUACAUGGAGCAACAGAAUAAAUAUAUCUUUAAAUAAAUAAUUA